RNAcentral lists this ribosomal RNA (500 nucleotides) under uncultured bacterium. Its description in RNAcentral is "partial 16S ribosomal RNA". It matches the Rfam family "Bacterial small subunit ribosomal RNA", at positions 30 to 523 of the family's 1533-position model. The record is from RNAcentral.
AUUGAACGCUGGCGGAAUGCUUUACACAUGCAAGUCGAACGGCAGCACGGACUUCGGUCUGGUGGCGAGUGGCGAACGGGUGAGUAAUGUAUCGGAACGUGCCCAGUCGUGGGGGAUAACGUAGUGAAAAUUACGCUAAUACCGCAUACGAUCUAUGGAUGAAAGCGGGGGAUCGCAAGACCUCGCGCGAUUGGAGCGGCCGAUAUCAGAUUAGGUAGUUGGUGGGGUAAAGGCCCGCCAAGCCAACGAUCUGUAGCUGGUCUGAGAGGACGACCAGCCACACUGGAACUGAGACACGGUCCAGACUCCUACGGGAGGCAGCAGUGGGGAAUUUUGGACAAUGGGCGAAAGCCUGAUCCAGCCAUUCCGCGUGCAGGAUGAAGGCCCUCGGGUUGUAAACUGCUUUUGUACAGAACGAAGAGGUUUCUACUAAUACUAGGAGCUCAUGACGGUACUGUAAGAAUAAGCACCGGCUAACUACGUGCCAGCAGCCGCCGAAA